GGGGAUGAUCUGGUCGGUGUCGAUGUUGUCUCCCACCACGAAGACCUCGCCGUGGAAGACCGCGGACGACGGGGAGCUGCCGCCCGCCGCGGCCGCGGGGGUCAGGGUCCCAGCGCGGCGGCAUUUCAGGAUGGGGUGGCGGUGGGAGGUGGCCUGGGUGCGCCGGAGGAACGCGCUGGUAGGCGCUGGUCUGGGGGCUAGCACCGCCGUUGACGCCACCGUCGCCGCCGCCGUCGGAGCCGCCGCCAUGAUGAUGGUUUCGGCUUGGACGCUCUUGGUUGAUUGGGGAUCGGGAAUCAGAGGUGGGUUUAGGGCAAGGGCUGAAAUGGG
Molecule: long non-coding RNA, 330 nt
Filed under: Setaria italica (foxtail millet)
Lineage: Eukaryota; Viridiplantae; Streptophyta; Magnoliopsida; Poales; Poaceae
Description: long non-coding RNA (SITA_LNC000604)
Source: RNAcentral